Molecule: small nuclear RNA, 102 nt
Organism: Sciurus vulgaris (Eurasian red squirrel)
Lineage: Eukaryota; Metazoa; Chordata; Mammalia; Rodentia; Sciuridae
Source: Ensembl
GCUCUAUUUGUAGUGUAUAUACUGAAAUUGAAAUGAUACAGAGAUUAUUAGUGUGACCCCUGUGUAAGAAUGGCAUGCAAAUUUCUAGUGUUCCAUUUUUCU